GAUGAACGCUGGCGGCGUGCUUAACACAUGCAAGUCGAACGGAGUGCCUUUGAAAGAGGAUUCGUCCAAUUGAUAAGGUUACUUAGUGGCGGACGGGUGAGUAACGCGUGAGGAACCUGCCUUGGAGUGGGGAAUAACACAGUGAAAAUUGUGCUAAUACCGCAUAAUGCAUGACCGGGGCAUCCCGGACAUGCCAAAGAUUUAUCGCUGAAAGAUGGCCUCGCGUCUGAUUAGCUAGUUGGCGGGUAACGGCCCACCAAGGCGACGAUCAGUAGCCGGACUGAGAGGUUGACCGGCCACAUUGGGACUGAGAUACGGCCCAG
This 323-nucleotide ribosomal RNA is filed under the name uncultured bacterium. RNAcentral describes it as "bacterial SSU rRNA". It matches the Rfam family "Bacterial small subunit ribosomal RNA", at positions 28 to 334 of the family's 1533-position model. The record is from RNAcentral.